Molecule: ribosomal RNA, 468 nt
Filed under: uncultured bacterium
Lineage: Bacteria
Description: partial 16S ribosomal RNA
Rfam family: Bacterial small subunit ribosomal RNA
Source: RNAcentral
GACGAACGCUGGCGGCGUGCUUAACACAUGCGAGUCGAACGGAAAGGCCCUGCUUUUGUGGGGUGCUCGAGUGGCGAACGGGUGAGUAACACGUGAGUAACCUGCCCUUGACUUUGGGAUAACUUCAGGAAACUGGGGCUAAUACCGGAUAGGAGCUCCUGCUGCAUGGGGGGGGUUGGAAAGUUUCGGCGGUUGGGGAUGGACUCGCGGCUUAUCAGCUUGUUGGUGGGGUAGUGGCUUACCAAGGCUUUGACGGGUAGCCGGCCUGAGAGGGUGACCGGCCACAUUGGGACUGAGAUACGGCCCAGACUCCUACGGGAGGCAGCAGUGGGGAAUAUUGCACAAUGGGCGGAAGCCUGAUGCAGCAACGCCGCGUGCGGGAUGACGGCCUUCGGGUUGUAAACCGCUUUCGCCUGUGACGAAGCGUGAGUGACGGUAAUGGGUAAAGAAGCACCGGCUAACUACGUG